Molecule: non-coding RNA, 29 nt
Filed under: Mus musculus (house mouse)
Lineage: Eukaryota; Metazoa; Chordata; Mammalia; Rodentia; Muridae
Source: RNAcentral
UGGGAGUGUGGAUUACUGAGAUUAUUUGC